CCUACGGGAGGCAGCAGUGGGGGAUAUUGCACAAUGGGGGGAACCCUGAUGCAGCGACGCCGCGUGGGUGAAGAAGCGCCUCGGCGCGUAAAGCCCUGUCAGCAGGGAAGAAGAUGACGGUACCUGACCAAGAAGCCCCGGCUAACUACGUGCCAGCAGCCGCGGUAAUACGUAGGGGGCAAGCGUUAUCCGGAUUUACUGGGUGUAAAGGGGGCGCAGACGGCGAUGCAAGCCAGGAGUGAAAGCCCGGGGCCCAACCCCGGGACUGCUCUUGGAACUGCGUGGCUGGAGUGCAGGAGGGGCAGGCGGAAUUCCUGGGGUAGCGGUGAAAUGCGUAGAUAUCAGGAGGAACACCGGUGGCGAAGGCGGCCUGCUGGACUGCAACUGACGUUGAGGCCCGAAGGCGUGGGGAGCAAACAGGAUUAGAUACCCGUGUAGUC
Molecule: ribosomal RNA, 440 nt
Filed under: uncultured bacterium
Lineage: Bacteria
Description: partial 16S ribosomal RNA
Rfam family: Bacterial small subunit ribosomal RNA
Source: RNAcentral